This 443-nucleotide ribosomal RNA is filed under the name uncultured Thiobacillus sp. RNAcentral's name for it is "bacterial SSU rRNA". It matches the Rfam family "Bacterial small subunit ribosomal RNA", at positions 933 to 1382 of the family's 1533-position model. Lineage: Bacteria; Pseudomonadati; Pseudomonadota; Betaproteobacteria; Nitrosomonadales; Thiobacillaceae. The record is from RNAcentral.
UGGAUGAUGUGGAUAAUUCGAUGCAACGCGAAAACCUUACCUACCCUUGACAUGUCCGGAAUCCUGCAGAGAUGCGGGAGUGCCCGAAAGGGAAUCGGAACACAGGUGCUGCAUGGCUGUCGUCAGCUCGUGUCGUGAGAUGUUGGGUUAAGUCCCGCAACGAGCGCAACCCUUAUCAUUAGUUGCUACGCAAGGGCACUCUAAUGAGACUGCCGGUGACAAACCGGAGGAAGGUGGGGAUGACGUCAAGUCCUCAUGGCCCUUAUGGGUAGGGCUUCACACGUCAUACAAUGGUCGGUACAGAGGGUUGCCAAGCCGCGAGGUGGAGCCAAUCCCAGAAAGCCGAUCGUAGUCCGGAUUGUUCUCUGCAACUCGAGAGCAUGAAGUCGGAAUCGCUAGUAAUCGCGGAUCAGCAUGUCGCGGUGAAUACGUUCCCGGGUCUU